UACAGAGGUCUCAAGCGUUUUCGGAUUCAUUGGGCGUAAAGGGUGCGUAGGCGGCGCGGUAAGUCGGGUGUGAAAUCUUGGAGCUUAACUCCGAAACUGCAUUCGAUACUGCCGUGCUUGAGGACUGGAGAGGAGACUGGAAUUUACGGUGUAGCGGUGAAAUGCGUAGAUAUCGUAAGGAAGACCAGUGGCGAAGGCGGGUCUCUGGACAGUUCCUGACGCUGAGGCACGAAGGCCAGGGGAGCAAACGGG
RNAcentral lists this ribosomal RNA (252 nucleotides) under uncultured bacterium. Its description in RNAcentral is "partial 16S ribosomal RNA". It matches the Rfam family "Bacterial small subunit ribosomal RNA", at positions 524 to 776 of the family's 1533-position model. The record is from RNAcentral.